Molecule: long non-coding RNA, 1070 nt
Filed under: Anser cygnoides (Swan goose)
Lineage: Eukaryota; Metazoa; Chordata; Aves; Anseriformes; Anatidae
Description: lncRNA (ENSACDG00005004321.1)
Source: RNAcentral
UUUGUUGUUUCAGACUGUUUUUCUUUUGCCUUUUCAGCAGCAGCCUGCAGGAAAUACAAGGCUGUCUUGUCAUUGUUGCCUGUCAUUCAGUGCACUGAUUUGCUUGUCUCAGAGAACGAGAGUUGUAACAGGAAACAAAAUGACAUCUCUGGAUCCAAAGGAGCCCUGAGAAAGUGGAAGGGACAGAUGCUGCUAGGAGGAGAGGAGUGCAGCUUGUGGCUGAGCCUGGAGCAGAGCUGUUCUGCACAAGGGGUUGGUGCAGGCUGCCUGGGCUGCCGGCUGGAGCACAGGCACCAGCGCCAGCUGCCCACAGCUUUACAUGACAUAGUUGGCACUGUUGAUUUAAACAGACUGAUGAACGUGACCUCCUAAAUGAAAUGUUAGUAAUUACACAUUAUAGACAGAGAACGCUCACAUUAAGAGCAUUUCAUAGCAGGUUUCUUUUUUAUUGUUGUUUAUUUGUUUGUUUUGAAAAGGAGAAGUUAAGCUAAUGUUCAGAUGUGCACUCAUUUGUUAAUACAAAUACUCAGUAGAUAUUCCCUAUUGAGGGACCUUGGCUCUGCAUUUCCUGCUCCAGUUCUUUUGGGUGGGGGGAAGAACACAGACAAAAACCAACAAAACAAAACAACAAAACAGAACAGCUUUCAAGUGGGUGUGAAAAGGAAGGAUACUAACGUGUGAGAUGUCAAUAAGCAUUUGCCUUGUUAAACUGUAAUCUAACAUAUGUUAAAGUAAGAACAAGACCUAAAACGAUACAGUUGUCCUUCGUGGAAGAUUUAUCAUAGAAAGGUACACCAUCAGCAUCUCAUUAGUAACCACACUUCUGGUCUUUCUUCAGGUUUUAGUGGAAUGAGACAUUCUUAUGUAGCUGUUACUAGUACUUGAAGAAACUAUUUUUGCUUAACAUCCAAUCUUCAGUAAAAAUUAAACAAGAAAAGGAGAAUUCAAAGACACAAGUCCCUCUGUCACAGCCAUCCAAACAGUGACAAGACAAAAAUCCUUGUUCUAAGUGCAAAGGGAAAAGAUGUCAAAGGAAAUAAAGUACUGUUGUGUUCUUAUGAAGGAUAACA